Molecule: ribosomal RNA, 601 nt
Filed under: Lactobacillus gasseri
Lineage: Bacteria; Bacillati; Bacillota; Bacilli; Lactobacillales; Lactobacillaceae
Description: bacterial SSU rRNA
Rfam family: Bacterial small subunit ribosomal RNA
Source: RNAcentral
GAUGAGUACUCCCGCAUUGUUUAAUGUCAAAGGAAGUGACGGGAGGUCUCACAAUUGGAGGAGCAUGUGGUUUAAUUUGAAGCAACAAUAAGAACCUUACCAUGGUCUUGACAUCCAGUGCAAUCCUAAGAGAUUGGGAGUUCCCAUAGGGGACGAUGAGACAGGUGGUGCAUGGCUGUGGUCAGCUCGUGUCGGGAGAGGUUGGGUUAAGUCCCGCAACGAGGGCAACCCUUGUCAUUAGUAGCCAUCAUUAAUUUGGGCACUAUAAUGAGACUGCCGGUGACAAACCGGAGGAAGGUGGGGAUGACGUCAAGUCAUCAUGCCCCUUAUGACCUGGGAUACACACGUGCUACAAUGGACGGUACAACGAGAAGCGAACCUGCGAAGGCAAGCGGAUCUCUGAAAGCCGUUCUCAGUUCGGACUGUAGGCUGCAACUCGCCUACACGAAGCUGGAAUCGCUAGUAAUCGCGGAUCAGCACGCCGCGGUGAAUACGUUCCCGGGCCUUGUACACACCGCCCGUCACACCAUGAGAGUCUGUAACACCCAAAGCCGGUGGGAUAACCUUUAUAGGAGUCAGCCUAUAAGGAGGGGGAGUUGGG